ACUUCUGCAGAGCUGCUGCUGCUGCUGCAAGGGUUAGGGCCUGAUCGCAAGCAAGCAAUCGGCGCACGGAAAUCCAAGAGCAUUGGUAGUUGUGACAACACACUGCGACCCUGGAAGGAAGUGCUGUGGGGGCUUCACCUAUUACAGCAAAAUGGGUAGCUAGCAGUCGCCCAGGGGUGGCGCUCCCACACAGAGGUUGCAAGAUCAAAAAGGCGUUUACUUCAAGUGUGGAAAAGGUCAGCUAGUGAACAGCCUGGUAUAUAAGAACUGGUCAGACACUGUCACCUACUGGAGGAGCCUUUGAAAGGAAAGAGCCUAGAUCUGGGAUUGUUACAGCUGACCUGGAAAAGUUGGUCAGGAGACACGGACGUUUUGGUUCCCAGCCAGUUCUGUUCUGAGAGCAAAAAUGGAGAUGAUGGCCAUUCAGUAUCAACAUGUGGACCCAGAGAAGCAGAAGUCAGGGGAAAAAUUGAUUUGGCCGGAGACUCAAAGCACCAAGUCACCCAUCCAGCGAGAGGAAAGCGUUCUGUAUAAUGAACAGAAGGUGCUGACAACCAGAUCCCAUGUGACCAGUUCUCCUUCCCCUGCCGCCUCCUGUCCAGGCCCCUCCUGCCCAGGCAGCUGGAUUGGGUACCGAGGGAAAUGCUAUUAUUUCUCACAGAUGGAAGGGAAUUGGACCUACAGCCAGAGCCAGUGCUCAGCACUCAAUGCCUCCCUGGCUGUGAUUGACAGCGAGCAUGACCUGGUAAGAAG
RNAcentral lists this long non-coding RNA (753 nucleotides) under Chelonoidis abingdonii (Abingdon island giant tortoise). RNAcentral's name for it is "lncRNA (ENSCABG00000018966.1)". Lineage: Eukaryota; Metazoa; Chordata; Testudines; Testudinidae. The record is from RNAcentral.